RNAcentral lists this unclassified non-coding RNA (253 nucleotides) under Candidatus Kaiserbacteria bacterium. RNAcentral describes it as "contains 16S-23S intergenic spacer region". It matches the Rfam family "Bacterial small subunit ribosomal RNA", at positions 524 to 776 of the family's 1533-position model. The record is from RNAcentral. Lineage: Bacteria; Candidatus Kaiseribacteriota.
UACAGAGGCCCCAAGUGUUACCCGGAAUUACUGGGCGUAAAGGGUGUCAAGGCGGCCAUAUUAGUCGUUUGUUAAAUCCGCGAGCUUAACUUGCGGCCUGCAAGCGAAACGGUAUGGCUAGAGGGCGCGAGAGGUGCAUGGAACUCACGGUGGAGGGGUGAAAUCCGUUGAUAUCGUGGGGAACACCAAUGGCGAAGGCAGUGCACUGGCGCGUUCCUGACGCUCACACACGAAAGCCAGGGUAGCGAACGGG